This 369-nucleotide ribosomal RNA is filed under the name uncultured organism. RNAcentral describes it as "bacterial SSU rRNA". It matches the Rfam family "Bacterial small subunit ribosomal RNA", at positions 526 to 897 of the family's 1533-position model. The record is from RNAcentral.
CGAAGGUCCCAAGCGUUAUCCGGAUUUAUUGGGUUUAAAGGGUGCGUAGGCGGGCUAUUAAGUCAGUGGUGAAAGCCCCAAGCUUAACUUGGGAACUGCCAUUGAUACUGAUGGUCUUGAGUACAUUUGAGGUGGGCGGAAUGUGUCAUGUAGCGGUGAAAUGCUUAGAUAUGACACAGAACACCGAUUGCGAAGGCAGCUCACUAAACUGUAACUGACGCUGAGGCACGAAAGCGUGGGGAGCAAACAGGAUUAGAUACCCUGGUAGUCCACGCCCUAAACGAUGAUCACUCGAUGUGUGCGAUAUACUGUACGCGUCUGAGCGAAAGCAUUAAGUGAUCCACCUGGGGAGUACGACCGCAAGGUUGA